GCAAACUUGGUCAUUUAGAGGAAGUAAAAGUCGUAACAAGGUUUCCGUAGGUGAACCUGCGGAAGGAUCAUUAUUGAAUAAAUCUGAUGGGUUGUAGCUGGCUCUCUUGGGAGCAUGUGCACGCCUGUCGUCUUUAUUUCUCCACCUGUGCACUUCUUGUAGAUCUGGAUAAAAUUCUCCGGGGUCACUCGGGUUGGCGAACUGCUGGUUUUGCAAUCAGCUGUUUGUAAAUUUCCAGGUCUAUGUUUUCAUACACCCAUUGUAUAAUAAAGAAUGUGUUUUGGGCUUUAUGCCUAUAAAGUUAAUACAACUUUCAGCAACGGAUCUCUUGGCUCUCGCAUCGAUGAAGAACGCAGC
This 357-nucleotide unclassified non-coding RNA is filed under the name uncultured fungus. Its description in RNAcentral is "partial contains small subunit ribosomal RNA, internal transcribed spacer 1, and 5.8S ribosomal RNA". The stretch from base 1 to 73 matches the Rfam family "Eukaryotic small subunit ribosomal RNA", at positions 1759 to 1831 of the family's 1831-position model. The record is from RNAcentral. Lineage: Eukaryota; Fungi.